CCUAAUACAUGCAUGUCGAACGAAGCACUUGUGCUUAGUGGCAAAUGGGUGAGUAACACGUACUUAAUCUACCCCCAAGUUUGGGAUAACAGUUGGAAACAAUUGCUAAUACCAAAUACAUAUAAGUUUUGCAUAAUUCUUAUAUAAAAGGAGCGUUUGUUUCGCUAGGGGAUGAGAGUGCGCUACAUUAGUUAGUUGGUAGGGUAAGAGCCUACCAAGACUAUGAUGUAUAGCGGGGCUGAGAAGCUGAACCGCCACACUGGGACUGAGAUACGGCCCAGACCCCUACGGGAGGCAGCAGUAGGGAAUAUUCCACAAUGAGCGAAAGCUUGAUGGAGCAACACAGCGUGCAGGAAGACGACCUUAGGGUUGUAAACUGCUGUUAUGAGGGAAGAAAAAUAAAAUUAGGAAAUGAAUUUUACAUGACGGUACCUCAUCAGAAAGCACCGGCAAACUAUGUGCCAGCAGCCGCGGUAAUACAUAGGGUGCAAGCGUUAUCCGGAAUUAUUGGGCGUAAAGUGUCUGUAGGUGGUAUGUUAAGUCUAGUGUUAAAGACUAGGGCCCAACCCUAGCACGCUCUAGAUACUGACAUGCUAGAGUCAUAGAGAGGUUAGCGGAACUCCUAGUGAAGCGGUGAAAUGUGUAGAUAUUAGGAAGAACACCAAUAGCGAAGGCAGCUAACUGGAUAUGUACUGGCACUCAGAGACAAAGCGUGGGUAGCAA
This 723-nucleotide ribosomal RNA is filed under the name uncultured bacterium. Its description in RNAcentral is "bacterial SSU rRNA". It matches the Rfam family "Bacterial small subunit ribosomal RNA", at positions 47 to 771 of the family's 1533-position model. The record is from RNAcentral.